This 85-nucleotide transfer RNA is filed under the name Xylanibacter ruminicola. Its description in RNAcentral is "Prevotella ruminicola tRNA-Pro". Lineage: Bacteria; Pseudomonadati; Bacteroidota; Bacteroidia; Bacteroidales; Prevotellaceae. The record is from RNAcentral.
UGUGGCUUUUGAUAAGGAAAACCGCCGCCUGGGUCGCGGUAAGGGCUAUUACGAUCGUUUCCUGAGUUCAUUCUCUCAGCCGCGA